ACUGCAUUUCAUCACUGAAUGAUGAUCAGGCUGCUUUGCUUGAAAGAAAUUAUACAACAGCAGAUGUGUCUAUUGCUUUUCCCCUGCAUGUUUCCUGGAUGUUUGCUCAGCUGCGUUGAAGGUUAAAAAGUGACAUUGAUUGGAAAGCAGAGAAAUGACUCAUGUUGAGAUGGAUUAAGCGGAUUGGUUCCAGGACAGAGAUGUACAGCUGCUCUUAGACAGACCAUUUCAUAACACACAACAUCAGAAAUGAGUUUGGUAAUGGCCCCAUUCAGCAUUAAUUACGCCAUCUAGCCGCUGGCUUCACCCCACCAUCACCCUGAAAUGCUCCACUGCACCAUCAAACAGCAGAAGGGACUACUUUUCCAGGUGGAAACACUAAGUGAUCAAUAAAACAAAUGUAAAAAUCCCACCGGCACAUAUACAGAAGGAGUGACUGGAGCCACAUCCACAGAUCAGAAGAUCACCAAGACUUGCAUCUUGGACUGGUUAGCAACCACGUAGAAAUGAACUAGAAAGCAGCACCCAGAACACUUUAACAUGACAGCAACAGGUUGCAUGAAUCACCACUCACAUUUUUUUAGAAAAAUGUAAAAAUGAAGUGUUCUGCAGUAACUGAUGUCAGGGUUUUGAGUGUUGGUGAUAUUUUUAGUCUGUAAUCUAAGUGCAUAGGGCCCACAUCAGCAGGGAUCCCACACCAAUUUCAUGAAUUUAAUUGGUUGGUAGAGCAAAUGCAAAUAGCUUGAGUGCGAUUCCUCUAGAGGUUGUAAAAGAUGCAGUUUAAGAUGGCUUUAAAAGCUGAUUUGCUUCUUUAGCGGUGUGGCGGAUGACAGACUGUCCUCCCAUGAACAGCCUUGUUAUCAUACUGCGUUCUAAUGAGGCAGCGUCGUUGUUUGCUGUCUUGUUUCCAAGAUGACGUCUUGCUGAUAAAAGUGAUUCAGAAACAAACGCAGGUACGAGAGGGCAGAUUGUUGUUUUUGUAAAGUAUUUCAUAAUUGAUGGGCUGCUUUGAUUUGAUUUGUAGCCUGAUGGAUUUAUCUGAAGUAAUUGUGGUCAUUAGGGAGAAAGCAAGUUUAAAAGCAGCGGACGGUCGACUGGUGGAGUGCUUUGAUAUUUUAUGUAAGAGAAAUAAAUGAAUAUAAACACACACACACACAGACACAUUCCCACAGGUGGCUUAACUGUGAGUUGUGGGGCUGUAAGCGCCGUCCAGAGUUUAGUAAUUAAGUCUGAGUUCAUUACGAGACAGCAAAGAGAACGCUGCAGUGAGAAAUGAAAAUGAAGUGGACGGACUGGAAAGGGCUUUAGGUGAGCUGUUAGAUGCAAACCCUCUAAUGACAGAUUCGUGACACUCAAAGAUACUUCAUUAAAGACUCCCAUGGGAAUAUAAAAAACACAAAGAAUUUCUCAGUUGUUUCUCUUAAACAUCUGCUUCAGUCUCCUGCUUCCAGCU
Onychostoma macrolepis is the source of this 1453-nucleotide long non-coding RNA. RefSeq lists it as uncharacterized. NCBI's taxonomy places the organism in Eukaryota, Metazoa, Chordata, Actinopteri, Cypriniformes, Cyprinidae. The transcript has 3 exons. The record is from RefSeq and is a predicted model, not a curated record.